Molecule: ribosomal RNA, 496 nt
Filed under: uncultured bacterium
Lineage: Bacteria
Description: partial 16S ribosomal RNA
Rfam family: Bacterial small subunit ribosomal RNA
Source: RNAcentral
AUGAACGCUGGCGGCGUGCCUCAUACAUGCCAGUCGAGCGCACAGAUGAGGAGCUUGCUCCUCUGACGUUAGCGGCGGACGGGUGAGUAACACGUGGAUAACCUACCUAUAAGACUGGGAUAACUUCGGGAAACCGGAGCUAAUACCGGAUAAUAUAUUGAACCGCAUGGUUCAAUAGUGAAAGACGGUUUUGCUGUCACUUAUAGAUGGAUCCGCGCCGCAUUAGCUAGUUGGUAAGGUAACGGCUUACCAAGGCAACGAUGCGUAGCCGACCUGAGAGGGUGAUCGGCCACACUGGAACUGAGACACGGUCCAGACUCCUACGGGAGGCAGCAGUAGGGAAUCUUCCGCAAUGGGCGAAAGCCUGACGGAGCAACGCCGCGUGAGUGAUGAAGGUCUUCGGAUCGUAAAACUCUGUUAUUAGGGAAGAACAAAUGUGUAAGUAACUUUGCACGUCUUGACGGUACCUAAUCAGAAAGCCACGGCUAACUACGUG